This 492-nucleotide ribosomal RNA is filed under the name uncultured bacterium. RNAcentral describes it as "partial 16S ribosomal RNA". It matches the Rfam family "Bacterial small subunit ribosomal RNA", at positions 29 to 507 of the family's 1533-position model. The record is from RNAcentral.
AGUGAACGCUGGCGGUAGGCCUAACACAUGCAAGUCGAACGGCAGCACAGUAAGAGCUUGCUCUUACGGGUGGCGAGUGGCGGACGGGUGAGGAAUACAUCGGAAUCUACUUUUUCGUGGGGGAUAACGUAGGGAAACUUAUGCUAAUACCGCAUACGACCUACGGGUGAAAGCAGGGGAUCUUCGGACCUUGCGCGAUUGAAUGAGCCGAUGUCGGAUUAGCUAGUUGGCGGGGUAAAGGCCCACCAAGGCGACGAUCCGUAGCUGGUCUGAGAGGAUGAUCAGCCACACUGGAACUGAGACACGGUCCAGACUCCUACGGGAGGCAGCAGUGGGGAAUAUUGGACAAUGGGCGCAAGCCUGAUCCAGCCAUACCGCGUGGGUGAAGAAGGCCUUCGGGUUGUAAAGCCCUUUUGUUGGGAAAGAAAAGCAGCAGGUUAAUACCCCGCCGUUCUGACGGUACCCAAAGAAUAAGCACCGGCUAACUUCGUG